Molecule: transfer RNA, 71 nt
Filed under: Rhipicephalus microplus (southern cattle tick)
Lineage: Eukaryota; Metazoa; Arthropoda; Arachnida; Ixodida; Ixodidae
Description: tRNA-Gly
Rfam family: tRNA
About the family: Transfer RNA (tRNA) molecules are approximately 80 nucleotides in length. Their secondary structure includes four short double-helical elements and three loops (D, anti-codon, and T loops).
Source: Rfam by way of RNAcentral
GCGUCGGUGGUUCAGUGGUAGAAUACUCGACUACCACGUGGGUGACCCGGGUUCGAUUCCCGGCCCACGCA